UGAAAGGGAAACGAUUGAAGUCAGUCGUACCGACGAGAAAUCAACUUAUCGUGUGCGAACUUGUGGGCGUGCGUGAGUUUCGGCCUCGCUGUUUGCAUGUUUGUGCGUUUUGGGUGUACUUUUUCGUAUGGUAGGCCAACGUCAGUUUCGAUUAUCAUAAAAUGACCGGCGGAAUGUAGCUUCGAUUUCGGUUGAAGUGUUAUAGCCUNUGGUAGAUGUGGUGAUUGAGACUGAGGAUUGCAACGAAUACCCUUUGGGCUAUCCGUCUGGCCUCUGAAAGUUGCUCAGGUGCCGAAAGCGU
This 301-nucleotide ribosomal RNA is filed under the name uncultured Glomeromycotina. Its description in RNAcentral is "eukaryotic LSU rRNA". Lineage: Eukaryota; Fungi; Glomeromycota. The record is from RNAcentral.